RNAcentral lists this ribosomal RNA (440 nucleotides) under uncultured bacterium. RNAcentral's name for it is "partial 16S ribosomal RNA". It matches the Rfam family "Bacterial small subunit ribosomal RNA", at positions 338 to 795 of the family's 1533-position model. The record is from RNAcentral.
CCUACGUGAGGCAGCAGUGGGGAAUAUUGCACAAUGGGGGAAACCCUGAUGCAGCGACGCCGCGUGAGUGAAGAAGUAAUUCGUAAUGUAAAGCUCUAUCAGCAGGGAAGAAAAUGACGGUACCUGAGUAAGAAGCCCCGGCUAACUACGGGCCAGCAGCCGCGGUAACACGUAGGGGGCAAGCGUUAUCCGGAUUUACUGGAGGUAAAGGGAGAGUAGACGGAUGUGCAAGUCUGGAGUGAAAGGCGGGGGCUCAACCCCCGGACUGCUCUGGAAACUGUACGGCGGGAGUGCAGGAGAGGUAAGUGGAAUUCCUAGUGUAGCGGUGAAAUGCGUAGAUAUUAGGAGGAACACCAGUGGCGAAGGCGGCUUACUGGACUGUAACUGACGUUGAGGCUCGAAAGCGUGGGGAGCAAACAGGAUUAGAUACCCGGGUAGUC